This 370-nucleotide unclassified non-coding RNA is filed under the name uncultured Pleosporales. RNAcentral describes it as "sequence contains ITS2". The stretch from base 1 to 154 matches the Rfam family "5.8S ribosomal RNA". The record is from RNAcentral. Lineage: Eukaryota; Fungi; Ascomycota; Dothideomycetes; Pleosporales.
AACUUUCGGCAACGGAUCUCUUGGUUCUGGCAUCGAUGAAGAACGCAGCGAAAUGCGAUAAGUAGUGUGAAUUGCAGAAGUCAGUGAAUCAUCGAAUCUUUGAACGCACAUUGCGCCCCUUGGUAUUCCAUGGGGCAUGCCUGUUCGAGCGUCAUUUGUACCCUCAAGCCCUGCUUGGGGUUGGGUGUUUGUCCCGCUUUGCGCGUGGACUCGCCUUAAAGCAAUUGGCAGCCGGCAUAUUGUCUCGGAGCGCAGCACAUUUUGCGCUUCUAGCAUGAAUGUUGGUAUCCAGUAAGCCUUUACAUUUGCUCUUGACCUCGGAUCAGGUAGGGAUACCCGCUGAACUUAAGCAUAUCAAUAAGCGGAGGCU